UACGUAGGGAGCAAGCGUUGUUCGGAUUUACUGGGCGUAAAGGGCGCGUAGGCGGCGCGGUAAGUCACUUGUGAAAUCUCUGAGCUUAACUCAGAACGGCCAAGUGAUACUGCAGUGCUAGAGUGCAGAAGGGGCAAUCGGAAUUCUUGGUGUAGCGGUGAAAUGCGUAGAUAUCAGGAGGAACACCUGUGGUGUAGACGGCUUACUGGACCAUGACUGACGCUGAGGCACGAAAGCGUGGGGAGCAAACAGG
RNAcentral lists this ribosomal RNA (253 nucleotides) under uncultured bacterium. Its description in RNAcentral is "partial 16S ribosomal RNA". It matches the Rfam family "Bacterial small subunit ribosomal RNA", at positions 524 to 776 of the family's 1533-position model. The record is from RNAcentral.